AAAAUACGGGAGGCAGCAGUGGGGAAUAUUGCACAAUGGGCGCAAGCCUGAUGCAGCGACGCCGCGUGGGGGAUGACGGCCUUCGGGUUGUAAACUCCUUUCGUUAGGGACGAAGCCACACUUUUUUUGGGUGUGGUGACGGUACCUUUGUUAAGAAGCACCGGCUAACUACGUGCCAGCAGCCGCGGUAAUUUUU
Molecule: ribosomal RNA, 196 nt
Filed under: uncultured bacterium
Lineage: Bacteria
Description: partial 16S ribosomal RNA
Rfam family: Bacterial small subunit ribosomal RNA
Source: RNAcentral